Molecule: long non-coding RNA, 7976 nt
Organism: Oxyura jamaicensis (ruddy duck)
Lineage: Eukaryota; Metazoa; Chordata; Aves; Anseriformes; Anatidae
Exons: 3
Source: RefSeq, a predicted model, not a curated record
AUGAUCUCGGAGGUCUUUUCCAACCUCAUAGAUUCUAUGAUUCUAUGAUUUUCUUAGUCUAAUGAAAGAGUGAUUCUGUCUUACUGGAGCAUCUCUUGGCUCUCCAGAGCUUUGUUGGAUGGCAGUUGUAAUUGAUCUACCAGGUCUGAGCCAGCCAUAAUCUUAGUUUUUGUUGUUGUUGUUCUACUUUUAUGUUAUUUAUUUUAUUAGACAAGCCAUCCCUUCAGCUAAGGAGAUGUUUUUGUGCCAGCAGAAGGCAGCAUCAGAUCUCAAAGCAGCACCAACCUUGUUGGUACCAGUUUCUGAUCAGUCUCCUGCUGCCUAUCUCUCAGCCACUUGAUUUACUCUCCUCCCAGCAAAUCUACCAUAAAUUCUGUCUGAUCGCUUCCAGAGGUUCUCUGUUGUCACCUUCCUGUUUUAGUUUGGCAGUGAUACUCACACCUGGGUUUUUGUAGUCUCCUGGUUCAAAUUAGGCCUUAUAGCUUGAGGUGCACAGUACAGGGAAAGAGCAGUAGGUUGGUUAUCCUCCAUGGCCUUCUUCCAGCUAGCUACUGGACAGUCUGCACAGUGCUCAGACACUGAAUGUAAGACAAGUGUCAGGCAUUGGCAGUAUUGUAGCCCUUCUUGAUACGUGGUUUUAAGCAUCGCAUGGAGUAAAAAUACAUAUAGUAAAAGGGUUUCUGGUAAAGGCAAGAAAUUUCCCACUUAAACUCAUUGUUUCCACAAAAACAAACAAACAAACAAACAAACAAAACUAAUAAAAUAAAAUAGGGUGCUCAAAAUAGCUCUCUGGGUUCCUUAGUGGGAAUGGCCUAGCAGAUCCUUUAACCCACAAAGACAGCAGUGAUCCUGAGUCCGCUUUUGUCCUUUGAGUGUUACCAGUUCUGAGGCUUGUUGGACAGCAUUUAGGAAGCGGUGCUUUGAAGUGUGCUUGGAAUUGGCUGCUUCUGCUUUUUCAGUGAGUCCUCCUGAGGGUGGAAGAUUAGAGCCAGGCCAUCCUUUCAUAUCUGCAGCAUCGGUUUCUUUUUUUAUCAAGUGCAUUUUAUUGCAAGGUGAAUUCUUUCCCAGCUUUUUGUACUUCGCCAGAUUCCCUUGACCUUGAGCCAGUCGGUGAUGAAUCGUAUGAGUCCCCAUUGAAAACACUGCGGAAGCCAGAGGAAUGCCAGCCUCACUGUGUAGUACAUAAAGUCAAAAUAUUUUAAGCCCAAGACUGAUGGGCAUGAUUCUUCUAUUUCAGUCUGCACCUUCAGAUUAAAAAGCUGUUAAAAGCUUCAAUUUGUCUUGAUGCAUCUGCUGCUUCAUGACCGAUGAAUGACAUGUCCAGGACUGGAGGGUAUGGGUAGGAGGAUGAUAUUUUCUGAUAAAUAUAUCUGAUGGUACUUUAUGUUCAAGUAAACAAUAAAAAUAAAAUAAAAAAAACAAAAGCCUGUUAUAGAAAAUGAUUCAUCUGUUAGAGAGACUGCUGGAACAGCAUCUAGUACUCCUCUGACUGAGGGACUAAUGUCUAAAAAGUCCAUAGACCACUAACACAUGCAAAGUUAGUUUUUGUUUCUGCCUCUUAAUUGCGUUUCCCUCUGCUGCGCUAAGACUGUGUUAGAUUGCAACUGCAAAAUAUCAUCUUGUAAUAUGUUAUGUAUUAGACCUCUUAUUAAUUCUGUAAUUCUUUUGUACAGCUUUGUAGCUAUAUGACUAAAUAUGCAGAGCGUUUAUAUGAAAAACUAUAAAGUUACAGGUUAUUGGUAUUUUGCAGUGUUAAGGGUUCAAUGAGUCAAGUUCUGUGCUGAGGGGAAUCAAUGAUUUCAUAUAAAUUUAUUGCUGUUAGAAUGAGGAUUUCCAGAGUAAACUGGGAGGCUAUAAACUUGCUCAAAGACAUAGCUGGUAGAGCAAGUCUGUAAACCCUUUGAAAUGAUACAAAUUCAUAAAUAUUAGGCUUCUUCCUGUCAGACUACUGUGAUCUGUCGGGGCACCAGUGUUGGGAGGAGGAGAGGUGCAAAGGCUACAAAAGGCAAAUAUUAUUUCUGGAAAUGGCUGGUGGGAUUUGGAUCUGCUUUUAGCAAGCAUGAAAUUUUGGGACUGAGGCCAAGUGCUAUUUCCAGAGUUUGAGGAUGACCCAUGACUUGGAUUAAGGGCUUGAAUUUGAUUUAGCUUAAAUCUGAGGCUGAACUUAGUUGGCAUCUUCUGGUUGGGAUUCUAGGAAAUCAAACCCUCACUGAAGCUUUGUUGACUGAAGUAAAAUUCUGUUUUCACAUACUGGUAGGAAAUCAAAUGCUUUUGAGCCAUCUUCCAACAAGAAAAAAAAAAAAAAAAAAGAACCCAAACUGGUGACAUUUAGAUCUGACCUCAGUACCCUCAUUUCUACUGCAUUUUGGAACAGGGGAGGGGGCAAGGAGAAGAGAAAGAGAGCUCUGGCAAAUAGAAAUUCAAUUGGUUUAAUAUACAGACUAUUUUGCUGCAGUCUAACUGGAGCCUCUUAUUAAGAAUCUGAUGGUAUUUCUAAACAGGGAGAGCUACUCCCUUGGUGGGGGCAAUCUCCAAUCAUACACUAACAUUGCUUUUGACAUAUUUAUGACUCCAAUAAAAUCUCCCAUCUGGUAUAUUUUAAAAUAAAAUUGAAAAUUUAUCACUUUCCUUUAGCUGGUUUGUCGUUCUCCCUGAGAGAAGAUAGCCAGGCUGAGAUUAUUGCAUCGGCAGUCUGUCAGCUGAAGUUAGGCUGAGCUGGGGCACCUGGGGAAAGACAAUACACCCCCCCCCCCCCCCCAUUUUUCUGGAUCUCCACAACCUUGGCUUGGUCAGAGAUGCUUGCAAGAGGAUGAAGCAGAACCCGAGUGUCCUCUCUCCUGUUGCUCUACUGUUAGGCCAGGUUGUGACAGCAGGAAGAGAUCCUUCUCCAUAUGAGGUACACUGCAAGUUUAUGGCAUUUAUACAGCUUACAGAGCUGGUCUUAAAGAGACUGAUCUCUGGGAGAGCAGAGCUAAGGCGUGUCAUUUCCCUGACGAAGGACCAAGGGAGAGAGGAUCUCUCUAGUUAGGAGCAGAGGAGAAAAAAGGCAAAAGCUGGUGAAGCUUUAGCACCUGCCUCAAGCAUAGUUCAGCUGAUGAGAAACACCAGUCAGUGCUCUCAGCAAGGGACCUGAUUCCAACCAUCACGCUUGGACUGAGACAGGUGGGUAGCAAGGAUCCGUGGGGGAGCCAUUACAGGCUAUUCCAGGUGAGCAGAAAAAGGAAAGAAGUAAAGCAGCUUCUGAAUAGAGAGAAUCAGGAGAGCAAGAGGUAGAUGGGCUGAUGAAAUAAUGCUGUCUUUAACUGAAUAAAUAACAGCACCACAGGAGGCAUUCAGGGCAACAAUUUUGGGGAGUUAAAAUGGAGGUUAAAGAUUACAUUUAGGAUUAGCAAUAUCAGGACCCCUAAGGCAUGCUCAGCGAAUGCUAAAGGCAUAGAUAAAAUCAGGUGUGUCUGGAGUAAUGCCUGCUAAUUAGAUAUGUACGAUGUAGGUACGUAUGAUGCUCUUUAUUUUUUCUGUUAACAGCACCUAUAUAUACGAUAUGGUAUCUCUCUAUGUAAGGUACACUUAAUACAUAUUAUUAGCAGAUUUGAUGGUAUAAUAUAUGCAGGCUAACCUGGUUUUAUGGAAGUAAGUGUUAGAAGUUGCUGAGCCAUGAGAAAGGCUUCCUCUGGCACCUCUGUACAGCAGCUCUUUACUUCAGCUCCUGUAUGGCAGCAGCUUACGCGCCAGGUUCUCCGUUGCACCGAGUGAUUAGCUGUGAAUGCACCCUUUGCCAAGACGGUAGGUUUGAUUGGAGCCCUCCUGCCUUCCCCUGAACAUUCACAGAUAGUGCUGGCUGUGUUAGCACGCAAUACAGAUGCUGGUGAAUGAAUAAAGGGGAAAAGGAAGAGAGAGCAAGCUUGUCUUUGUCAUCCUUUUUGAAAAGCAGAGGAAGGCAUUAGCAACCUCCAGAGGGAGUUCCUCUUCUCAGCUGAUCUCUAGGCAUGGAACUGAUGCCUCUGGGAAUCUCUUGACAUAUGAGCCUAUUUUCCUUGGUUCUGUCGUGAUCCUCCGGAGAACAUUUGUUUCCUGUUUGGUUUGAAAAGAUCAGGCUUACUGUGUGCUAAUUUUAUAUGAGGACAUCAAACAGCACAGAACUAGUGCAGUGCACCAGAACAAGCUCAGUUCCAGCUCUGCCAGGAGCAUGUACAGCACCUCGAAUCCCAAAGGGCUCUGUGAUGUGGGGCUCAAGAGAUGAACCUCCCAGUCGGGUUUGAGACUGACCAGCUGUGACUACAGAGUCACACGUGAGCUACGGUGACCAAACAACGCCAUCAUUCCUUCCCAUUUCUGCAGCUGCAUCAGUCUGUUAUGUGAAGGUUGACUGAGUUGUUUUGUAAAUCUCAGCAAUAAAAUGUGUCCACAGUCUCCUAAAUAACAGAAGAAAGAGAAGAAGGCAUGUAAUGAUGGUGCUGGUGGAAGAAAUGAAGAGUAGUGGAGUCUGAAAGAGAUGUGGGCAGGUGAGCAAUGGGCCUUGUGAGGCAGAACAAAAUGCAUUAUUUUUUAUGGAAAUGCAAAAAAAGGAUUGUGGAUCUUCUGGACAGAGGAUGAGUAGAGAAAAUGCUAAUUAUAUUUCAUAAAGUUGAUGGGAGCGAAGUUGGCUUUGUUCCACUGCUCAGGCAAAUGAAUGUGGCAGCUGGAAAGGACUAGCUGGCAAGGGAUGGGAGGAACCUCACGUGGGGAUUGUGCUUCUCACCUGCCAGUUUGUGUUCCCAUUUGUGCCACAGAAGUCUGUUGUGUUGCUGUGAAGCUCUGGGUUCCACGCAGAGGAAAGAUGUUUCAGAAAUUUCAGUGAGAUGCUAAAGCCAGGCUUCUUGCUGGCCCUCUGGCUUGAGUCUCAAACCUCUCCUAAAUUGCAGUGGCCAAAGCUAUGCUUAGCUUCACGUUCAUGAAUGAGUUUCAGGGAGGGACCUCUGGUUCUGAUGUUGCUACCAGGGAGCAGAUGUCCUGAGACAUUUACAGACAUAGGUCCUCUCUUCUCCUUUCUUCUAGGUUGGGUGCCUAAAGCUGAGUUGGCAAAAAUGAUGAUCUGGCUAGGAUGUAUGGCAGUGGGGUCAGGAUAUUCCUGUCGUGCUCAGCACUCCUUACAAAAACGGUCCCUGUCUCCUAUUCCAGAGGCUGCUAGAGAAUGUGGCACAGAUAAAAUAAAGCAGUCAGUGUCCAUGGGGAAAGCAUUCCCAAGAAAAGCAUUUGCUGAGAAAGAGUUUACUGUGCUUUGAGCAGAGUCAAAAGUAAUUAAACGUCCUAGUGAGGCACUAGGAGUGGGCACACUUUACAAAAGAGGGUAAUGUCCUGGGCAGGAACGCUGUUUUUGGGGUGCAGAUGGCCACGUAGAGGGGUGGCCUGGCCUACCUGGAACACUGACUGCCCCAUUGUGAACUGGAACGUGCUGAGACGUGCUGCAGCAAUGCCCUGUGACUUGCACAGCUUGAUUUAAUUCCUCUUGGAUUUGCAGAGAGGAAAGCAAAUAGGUUGAGUGUGGGAUCCCCAAGGCACUGAGUUAUUUAGACGAUCAGCAAAGAAUGAGUAAAGGAGUCGUGGCUCACAAAAGCUCAAGACUGUCAGAAAAAUAUUAGACAUCAUCUGGAAAGAGGAUGGUAUUGGCAGGAUAGAGCUGCCCCAGCCUUGGGACGUGCCCCCAGUUUGAACAGUUUGCAUGGCUAAAGGAAGGUCAGAGCCAUGGAAGGGGAUGGGGUGGAGGGGAGGAGAUUUCAUGUCAAUGGCCGGGGACAGGUGCAGAAAUGCAGAGCUCGGCUGUGGCUGUGGGGUUUGAGCUGAGAAGUACCAAGAGCUUUGACAGAGGGGCUGAAGGUAGAGGUUUAGAGCCUUAGAAGGAACAUGGCUGGAGUGAGCCUGCAAUUCUGGGCGUCAGAUCCAGGAUAAAAUAGAGCUCUUAGCUAGGAUCCUGUUCAGUUUCAGGAGCUAAUGGGUGACUGUGAGAAUGCGAGUGAGUACAAAUAAAGAUUUGAAAGAAAAAUCUAACCCCAAUGUGCUUUUGUGCUACAGUUUUUCUCUGAUCAGAUGCUUGUUUACAAGGAAGGGGGCAUGCCUUUCUCUUGUCUUUGCGAGAGCCCUGGCAAUGUGGAGUUGGAAAGUGAGAUUUUGAAGUGUGAAUUCCAUGUAAUAGAAAAGCAGAGAUUCCCCAGGGGCCGGUACAGCACUUCCCCAAGGCAUCAUUUGAGGUUGGUGGUUGACUAAGUGGGUGAUGUGGAGAGAUUCAGGUGAUGGUAAUGGUCUGUGAUGGUGUUUAAUAGAAAACAGUGGUGGGGCUGUUAUUUCUAGGGGAUUUAACUCCCCCGGGUGCAUGACCUCGCAUAGCAUAAGCUUUCCUAGCAUGAAGUUACGCUAUGUGUUGUGGAGGUGCCGAGGACUUCUGAAUCAUUGCCUAACUCCUCUGGCAUCGCUGCCUGUGAGCCAGAUGGUGCCGGUGCGGGGUAGGACCACUUGUACCUGGUAAGAAAUAGGUAACAAAUGACAAAUCCCAAGGUGUGCCUGUGUACUUGUGCCAAGCUCUUUUUUCCUGAGACGUCCCCGUGCCAGGAUGGGUUGGACAGUCUUUCAGGCCACGUAUUCUGCUUCUGGCUCAGACACGCUUUCCCAGUUCAUGCCUGUGCAGUGCAGAUACGGGGCAUUCAGCAUGACCUUCAUCUGGCAUUUCAAGGGACAGCCUGAACAGUGCCAGAGCCUUCAGCAGAGAAGUGCUGUGUGUCCUGGUACAGAAACAGGAGCAUUUGCUUUUCAUGGAAGGCUGUGGCUGGAUCUUGAGAUGAGAGGAAUGCAUCUGCUUCCCCUGCAGUCCACCAACAUUAAGCAUUUAGUGUGUAACAGCCACUGCCCAGGGCCUGAUUUCUAUGCAGGGUCUGUAGGGAAGGAAGUGAGAACAAAAAGAGAAGGUUUUAGGAUUUGCUUUCUCCAUGGCAGUGCGUGUUGAUCCUUUGUGCGUGUGCUUGCGGAGCGCAGGAAUGGGGGGAGGAUGCCACCGCUUCAUUCAGCGCUGCCUGCGACUAAUGGACCUUGACAACUGCAGCACAACAUGGAAACUAUUAAAAAGGGAGGACUGAUUAAAGCCCAAACCAUCCCAGCAUCCCCCUGGGCUCUUAACCCCGUGUUGGAGCUGAGCAGCCUAGCAAUGCCUCCUCCCUGGCUGCACAAUUAACAUCUCUUGUCACUAAUUGAUUCCUGUGGUGCUCGCAGGACAAUUAGAAUUUAAAUUGCCUUUUACAAAGGUCAUGAAAACAUGAUAAAAGACGAAUCUAUUAGGAAGGAUCACUCAGGAGUCUCUCUCCUUUUCCACAACACUGGCUGCUGGUUAUCACAGGGACACGAGUGAGGGGAACUGGGAGGGUGGCUCAGGCCUUUGGCUCAUUUCUUGCUGAUUGUAGUUCAUGGCAGAGCCUCAGCUCAUUGUCACUUGUGCACAUUCUUGCACUGAAAGUGUUACUUUAUUUUUUGCUGUUUCUUUUAGGAGUUUUUGUAUAUGCUAUCCCUUAUCCGCCUUUUUUGAUAUACUUUGAGAUAGCUGUUUUUCUACUUGACUCCUGAAUUCACUGCAGAGGGGAAGGAACCCGUUUGUGAUGGAAGGUGAAGGGUUUGGCUUUGCAGAGCAAAGGUGUCCUAGUGUCAGCCUGUCUUUACUUCCAGAGAGCUCGUGUCAUCACAUCUGAGCUGGGAUCAAAUCCUCCAUUCAGGUGUCUGUGGCAUCAUGGCUUGUCAAACCGAGUUUUGAGUUUUGCCAUCAAAGCAGAAUUAUGACAGUUUGUAGUUAGGUGGGGAGCUGGUAUUUUGCUUGCAAAUGGGAAUAUCCAGAGUCCUUACAGUCACUCCCCUCCAUCACCCUCAAGCCUCAACAGUGGAAAGAGAUUUAAAGCCUCACAUGUCAUGUUUAAGGCAAUGGUUUGUAAUUGCAGUAAAUCAGGCUGAAAUGGAUCUUGGAA